Molecule: ribosomal RNA, 502 nt
Filed under: uncultured bacterium
Lineage: Bacteria
Description: bacterial SSU rRNA
Rfam family: Bacterial small subunit ribosomal RNA
Source: RNAcentral
AAUCAACGCUGGCGGCGUGCCUCAGACAUGCAAGUCGAACGCGAAAGUUCCCUUCGGGGGAUAAGUAGAGUGGCGUCCGGGUGAGUAACACGUAGGUAAUCUACCUUUGGGUGGUGAAUAACAACCGGAAACGGUUGCUAAUACCGCAUAAUGCAGCGGCACCACAUGGUGACAGUUGUUAAAGCGGGGGAUCGCAAGACCUCGCGCCUAAAGAGGAGCCUGCGGCGGAUUAGCUAGNGGUAGGGUAACGGCCUACCAAGGCAACGAUCCGUAGCCGGCCUGAGAGGGCGGUCGGCCACACUGACACUGAAAUACGGGUCAGACUCCUACGGGAGGCAGCAGUCGGGAAUUUUGGGCAAUGGGCGAAAGCCUGACCCAGCAACGCCGCGUGAAGGAUGAAAUCCCUCGGGAUGUAAACUUCGCAAGAACAGGAAGAAUAAGUAGGGGACAAUACCCCCUAUGAUGACGGUACUGUUUGUAAGCUCCGGCUAACUCCGUGCCA